UCGAGCGGCAGCAGCUCCUUCGGGAGGCUGGCGAGCGGCGGACGGGUGAGUAAUGCAUGGGAACUUACCCAGUAGUGGGGGAUAGCCCGGGGAAACCCGGAUUAAUACCGCAUACGCCCUGAGGGGGAAAGCGGGCUCCGGCUCGCGCUAUUGGAUGGGCCCAUGUCGGAUUAGUUAGUUGGUGGGGUAACGGCCUACCAAGGCGACGAUCCGUAGCUGGUCUGAGAGGAUGAUCAGCCACACCGGGACUGAGACACGGCCCGGACUCCUACGGGAGGCAGCAGUGGGGAAUAUUGGACAAUGGGGGCAACCCUGAUCCAGCCAUGCCGCGUGUGUGAAGAAGGCCUUCGGGUUGUAAAGCACUUUCAGCAGGGAGGAAAAGCUGGCGGUUAAUACCCGUUAGUGUUGACGUUACCUGCAGAAGAAGCACCGGCUAACUCCGUGCCAGCAGCCGCGGUAAUACGGAGGGUGCAAGCGUUAAUCGGAAUUACUGGGCGUAAAGGGCGCGUAGGCGGUUUGGUAAGCGAGUUGUGAAAGCCCCGGGCUCAACCUGGGAAUGGCAAUUC
RNAcentral lists this ribosomal RNA (566 nucleotides) under uncultured Halovibrio sp. RNAcentral's name for it is "bacterial SSU rRNA". It matches the Rfam family "Bacterial small subunit ribosomal RNA", at positions 62 to 629 of the family's 1533-position model. Lineage: Bacteria; Pseudomonadati; Pseudomonadota; Gammaproteobacteria; Oceanospirillales; Halomonadaceae. The record is from RNAcentral.